UACCAGCACCCCGAGUGGUCGGGACGUUUAUUGGGCCUAAAGCAUCCGUAGCCGGUUCUAUAAGUCUUCCGUUAAAUCCAACUGCUUAACAGGUGGGCUGCGGAAGAUACUAUAGAGCUAGGAGGCGGGAGAGGCAAGCGGUACUCGAUGGGUAGGGGUAAAAUCCGUUGAUCCAUUGAAGACCACCAGUGGCGAAGGCGGCUUACUGGUCCAUUACUGACGCUGAGGUGCGAAAGCGUGGGGAGCAAACAGG
Molecule: ribosomal RNA, 253 nt
Filed under: uncultured bacterium
Lineage: Bacteria
Description: partial 16S ribosomal RNA
Rfam family: Archaeal small subunit ribosomal RNA
Source: RNAcentral